This 76-nucleotide transfer RNA is filed under the name Hyphomicrobiales bacterium. RNAcentral describes it as "tRNA-Gly". It matches the Rfam family "tRNA". From Rfam's summary of the family: Transfer RNA (tRNA) molecules are approximately 80 nucleotides in length. Their secondary structure includes four short double-helical elements and three loops (D, anti-codon, and T loops). Lineage: Bacteria; Pseudomonadati; Pseudomonadota; Alphaproteobacteria; Hyphomicrobiales. The record is from RNAcentral.
GCGGGUGUAGCUCAGUUGGUAGAGCGUCAGCUUCCCAAGCUGGAUGUCGCCGGUUCGAAUCCGGUCGCCCGCUCCA